This 459-nucleotide ribosomal RNA is filed under the name uncultured bacterium. Its description in RNAcentral is "partial 16S ribosomal RNA". It matches the Rfam family "Bacterial small subunit ribosomal RNA", at positions 338 to 795 of the family's 1533-position model. The record is from RNAcentral.
CCUACGGGUGUCAGCAGUGAGGAAUAUUGGUCAAUGGGCGGGAGCCUGAACCAGCCAUGCCGCGUGAAGGCGAGUGCCCUACGGGCGUUAAACUUCUUUUGUGCGGGAGCAAUAAGGGCCACGUGUGGCCCGAUGAGAGUACCGCACGAAUAAGCAUCGGCUAACUCCGUGCCAGCAGCCGCGGUAAUACGGGGGGUGCAAGCGUUGUCCGGAAUCAUUGGGCGUAAAGAGUUCGUAGGCGGCACGUAAAGUCUGGUGUUAAAGGCAGAGGCUCAACUUCUGUACGGCACUGGAUACUUGCGAGCUAGAAUGCGGUAGAGGUAGAGGGAAUGCCUGGUGUAGCGGUGAAAUGCUGAGAUAUCAGGAGGAACAUCGGUGGCGUAAGCGCUUUACUGGGCCGUAAUUGACGCUGAGGAACGAAAGCCAGGGUAGCAAAUGGGAUUAGAUACCCUUGUAGUC